GGUAGAGCAGUUGACUUUUAAUCAAUUGGUCGCAGGUUCGAAUCCUGCACGACCCACCA
Molecule: transfer RNA, 59 nt
Filed under: Klebsiella pneumoniae
Lineage: Bacteria; Pseudomonadati; Pseudomonadota; Gammaproteobacteria; Enterobacterales; Enterobacteriaceae
Description: tRNA-Ser
Rfam family: tRNA
About the family: Transfer RNA (tRNA) molecules are approximately 80 nucleotides in length. Their secondary structure includes four short double-helical elements and three loops (D, anti-codon, and T loops). Further hydrogen bonds mediate the characteristic L-shaped molecular structure. tRNAs have two regions of fundamental functional importance: the anti-codon, which is responsible for specific mRNA codon recognition, and the 3' end, to which the tRNAs corresponding amino acid is attached (by aminoacyl-tRNA synthetases). tRNAs cope with the degeneracy of the genetic code in two manners: having more than one tRNA (with a specific anti-codon) for a particular amino acid; and 'wobble' base-pairing, i.e. permitting non-standard base-pairing at the 3rd anti-codon position.
Source: RNAcentral